AUUGAACGCUGGCGGCAGGCCUAACACAUGCAAGUCGAGCGGUGCGCCUGGAUGGUGAGUAAUGCCUGGUGAUCUGCCUGGUCGUGGGUGAGAUCGUCCGGAAUCGGGCGCUAAUACCGCAUACUAUCAGAUGAGCCUAGGUCGGAUUAGCUAGUUGGUGGGGUAAAGGCCUACCAAGGCGACGAUCCGUAACUGGUCUGAGAGGAUGAUCAGUCACACUGGAACUGAGACACGGUCCAGACUCCUACGGGAGGCAGCAGUGGGGAAUAUUGGACAAUGGGCGAAAGCCUGAUCCAGCCAUGCCGCGUGUGUGAAGAAGGUCUUCGGAUUGUAAAGCACUUUAAGUUGGGAGGCGUUACCAACAGAAUAAGCACCGGCUAACUUCGUGCCAGCAGCCGCGGUAAUUC
Molecule: ribosomal RNA, 407 nt
Filed under: uncultured bacterium
Lineage: Bacteria
Description: partial 16S ribosomal RNA
Rfam family: Bacterial small subunit ribosomal RNA
Source: RNAcentral